UUUGCCUGUACUACGUACGUUAUAACUGGUUCCACUGGCCGAUGUGCUUCGUGUGCCACUGUUGGGUUGUGGAGAAGAAAAUACCGUUCUCUGGCCGGAGACGUGGUGUGAAGCUCUGGAAUCCAGAUACCAAGGUGCUGCAAGAUCAAUAGUCUCUAUGAGAUUGGUUUCGGCGAAGCAGGCGUCGAGCACCUGGGUAGCCAAUAGUGUUGCGUCAAAAUUAUCGAUGCCUUUCGGUUCUAGAGAGUCAUGAGGUGGAUCGCUCUCGAAGUAUUUCUCGAUGUUAUUCACAUGGCUCCCAAAUGUGUUAUUGCUGCGCUCCUACUGUAAUCUGAGUUCUAGUGAUUCUGAUUGUUUCAUCACAGUUUUGAUACAGUGAUGGAACAGUGAUACACAGAAGACUAGAGGGAGCAAUAGAGAAGUUCAAUUAACAAUGCUUCGAUACAAGUGUUAAGUUGUACGAGAGUUCUGGUGACGACGAACAGACAUGCUAUCAAUAGAAGCAUGGAAUAAAUCCCUAUCGAGAAACUACUGCUAACUUUUUGUGUCUCUGAUGAUGGAAUUUUGGGUGAAUCUCUUGUUCGUCUCUGUCGACCAAACUGUGCUAGAGUCAGGGUUGCAAUGAUUUGAUUUGCUGUUACUAGAGCGAUUAAUGAGAAAGUUUCCGAAUAGUAUUUCGGUUAGAAGGUUCUGUCGUGCUAGACAGUAAAUCGGAGCGCUUAGGCUUAGAUCGUAUUCCUCACUAUCAAGUUCCUGGCUGAGGUGGAUUCUUCGAGGGCGAGGAGUGUUGGUGCUACCGUUGAACGUCUGCCUAGCGUUGAUGAGACGUCGGGGGAUCAACCCCUCCACAACCUGACCAAGGAUAUCUUUAUCGCGGUAAGUUUGUUUCAUUCAUGCAAAGGAUGCUUGCUCUUUGAAUCUAUCUGAGAAAAUUGAUUGGCUGAGCAUGAUACUGACCUUCAGAGGCGUGGAAUUAGUUUUCUUGAGCCGGUCAGUAGCACCUGGUUUCAGUUUGUCAAUUUGGUUUUCAAUUUUCUUUCUACCAUUAUUCUAUUUUCAAUUGACAUUUCCACAGUUGAAGGAAGAAAACUGCAUUUCAGUUCCUGAUUCUUGAGUUUUGUGGCUAUGGGAGGCUUCGCUGUUACUACAAUCCAAAUGGUUCUCGGAGAUUCUUUUUCCAAGCGCUCCUUUCAUGCCCCCUGUUCUACACUCAGUCUUCGAGAGAGGAAGAAUGCCUCCGACGAGUAAUUGAAAAUAUCCAUUUAAAGCUCGAUUCCAGUUACACAACAGGUGGUGACAUAAGCUCGACUGACUCAGCAGCUUAUGAAAAUUAUAACCGACGUUACCCUUGGUGCGCUGCUAUUUGAGGGCUUGAAUCUUCCAGUGGCAGCCCGAAAUCUUGCAGAAACCAAUACGGGGCGACGAGCCUCGCGCCUCAAGAUGCAUGUCGUGUUGCGUUUUAAGCUGCAGAGUUCUCCCGACAUCCAAUCUGCGGGGGAAAUGGCCAAUCGCAUCGGCACCAGCCAUCACUAAUUUCACUUCAUCGUCCAGAUCCUUCACGAUCCACUUCCUCUAAGUUCCUAACAAGAAAUCAUUUCACCACGAACGAUUUCACGGAGUCAAGGUGCUUCACUUACGCGGUUGCGUGAGAGUCAACAAGACUACCUCUGGUUGGGGAUCUGGAAGCUCGUGUUUCCUUCUUUGACAAGGAUUUCACGGAGAUUCUCAAGAUGAUCGACUCUGCGAAGAAGAUGAUUACCAAGGAUCAUAGAAAAGUUGAAAAUUUUGCGUGACGGAAAACCGUCGAUCAAAAAGAGAACCCAUGCUUGCACAUUGCGUUUGAAUACACCCUGCAUAAUAUGUUCCUCUUUCUCCCUGACAAUCUCAUCCAAAUGCAUUCUAAAGUUCUUUUCGUCACCCAACUGUUUCUGUUUGGCGCUUUUGUUCAGUUUUCUACAAGAUGGUUCGAUAAUCACAGGCUUUGUGUUGGUGAGGUGAAAUUAAGCCUCUCGAAUGUUUCUCUUAUGUGCAUUUUUGACCGGCAGAAGGAGCACUCCAACAACGGCGUCGGCUAAAGCUGGAUCGGUGGUCUGAUGCCAUGCCAUGGUCUCAGACAUUCCUCUACCUCUUCCCACUUGUUGGAUAUCGAACCACCAUUUUGCAUGCUGCUAUGUGUCCGAAAUUUGCCGAGCCACGAUCUGGUAUGCAGAUUCUGUUUGAGGAAUGACGGGCUAAAUUAUGCUGCCUCGUCCUUUGUGUCGGAAAUCCAAGUGACUAAUCAGAUGAAUAAGCACGCGAAGCUCAUAUUUAUCCUUUCAACACGCCUCUCACCGAAAACGCAAAAUACUACCGGGAAUCUUCGAGCCUCCUCACAACCCGUAGUUAUUAUUUCUAGAGGAAACUCUCAUCGAGGGGAAUCUGUGUACCUCAUGACAGCAAUUCGUUAGGAUGGCCGUCCGGAUCUCUUCAAUGACGUGCAGCAUGGUUCGAGACAUGGGCCAAUAACUUGGAUCCUUUUGGUAGAGCAGCAUUGGGAUUCCACUUUGCAGUCUACGCUUACAAAAAUCCUACGCAAUGUGCACCAGCAACUGAAACCAACGUCUCAGUUUGUCACGAAAUCGACCACGCACUCUCUAAGAUCAAGCCUGCAUCGGACGCCUACAUUCUGGAAUCCCAAUCGGUGCAUCACAUCCCAAUGGAACUCGCCCUGGGAGCUCUACAUGUAUUUAACAAAAUGGCAGCAUUCAGAGUCUACAUCAGAGUAGGAUCCUAACCACCUGGGCCUUCAUGUGAAACCUAGAGCUUCGAUAGCAACUUUGCGCCUUGAAAAAAUAUUACAAUCUCAAGCUAGAUAGAAUAUUUUAACAAGACGAAAUGAAGAGGAUAUUCGACUAAAAGUUUAACAAUCUUCCAUAAUUACAAAGCUCUACUUGACUCUCAGCUUUGUUCUAGUUCCUGACGCGUCAAGAUGGGUGUAGAGUCCAGUGAAAGACGUGCAGAGCGUGUGGGGAAGGAAAUUCUUAUGAGCUUGCAUCUCACAGUUUGAGCUAUGGUGGUGAGAGAACAUCUUUACAAACUUCUCUUGAACUAGAACAAAGCUGUUUCUUCGUUUUCA
This is a non-coding RNA of Physcomitrium patens, 3115 nucleotides long. The record is from RefSeq and is a predicted model, not a curated record. Lineage: Eukaryota; Viridiplantae; Streptophyta; Bryopsida; Funariales; Funariaceae.